RNAcentral lists this ribosomal RNA (306 nucleotides) under uncultured bacterium. RNAcentral describes it as "partial 16S ribosomal RNA". It matches the Rfam family "Bacterial small subunit ribosomal RNA", at positions 507 to 807 of the family's 1533-position model. The record is from RNAcentral.
GACAGCAGCAGCCACGGGAAUACGGAGGAUCCGAGCGUUAUCCGGAAUUAUUGGGUUUAAAGGGUGCGUAGGCGGAUAGAUAAGUCAGUGGUGAAAGACGGUGGCUCAACCAUCGCAGUGCCGUUGAUACUGUUUAUCUUGAAUAUGGAUGAGGUAGGCGGAAUGUGGCAAGUAGCGGUGAAAUGCAUAGAUAUGCCACAGAACACCGAUUGCGAAGGCAGCUUACCAAGGCAAAAUUGACGCUGAGGCACGAAAGCGUGGGGAUCGAACAGGAUUAGAUACCCCAGUAGUCCCUGUCUCUUAUAC